CGGGCAAGGAGCCGGGGUCGCCCGAUCGGACCCCGGACGUGAAGUCGACGAUGGUCGGUGGGCUGGUUUUGGUAAGCAGAACGGGCGAUUCGGGAUGAACCGGAAGCGGGGAGAAAGGGCCCGAGAUUGCGUCGACGCGGAUCCCGAAAAGGGCGUCGAUCCGUCGCGACAGCGGGACGGUGGUCAUGGAAGUCGAAAUCCGCUAAGAAGCGUGUAAAAACGUACCCGCCCAACGGAUCGGCCCCGAAAAUUGAUGGCGCUCGAACGCAACCCUCGAACCCCGCCGACGGAGGCUAGGGGAGGCCCCGUCGAGUAGGCGGACGCGCGGGUCGCUUCGACGCUCUCGCGCGAGCGGGGGCGGAGCGGCCCGUGGUGCAGAUCUUGGUGGUAGUAGCGAUCACCCAGGCGAGAACCCCUGAGGGCCGAAGUGGAGAAGGGUUUUCUCGAGAACGGCACUCGCUCGAGAGUUAGUCGAUCCUAAGCUGCCGGCGGCAGCCACGAAACGGUCGAUCGGGCGCGAGCCCGGCAGCCACGACCGGGCAGCGAAAGGGA
RNAcentral lists this ribosomal RNA (552 nucleotides) under uncultured eukaryote. Its description in RNAcentral is "eukaryotic LSU rRNA". It matches the Rfam family "Eukaryotic large subunit ribosomal RNA", at positions 1070 to 1603 of the family's 3401-position model. The record is from RNAcentral.